RNAcentral lists this ribosomal RNA (459 nucleotides) under uncultured bacterium. RNAcentral describes it as "partial 16S ribosomal RNA". It matches the Rfam family "Bacterial small subunit ribosomal RNA", at positions 338 to 795 of the family's 1533-position model. The record is from RNAcentral.
CCUACGGGUGGCAGCAGUGAGGAAUAUUGGUCAAUGGGCGGGAGCCUGAACCAGCCAAGUCGCGUGAGGGACGACGGUCCUAUGGAUUGUAAACCUCUUUUGUCGGGGAACAAAGGCGCCCACGGGUGGGCGGAUGAGGGUACCCGAAGAAAAAGCAUCGGCUAACUCCGUGCCAGCAGCCGGGGUAAUAAGGAGGAUGCGAGCGUUAUCCGGAUUUAUUGGGUUUAAGGGGUGCGUAGGCGGACAGUAACGUGAGCGGGAAAAGUGAGGUGCUCAAAGGCGUACAGCCGUUGAAACUGGCAGUCUUGAGUGGGCGAGAAGUAUGCGGAAUGCGGGGUGUAGCGGUGAAAUGCAUAGAUAGCGCGCAGAACUCCGAUUGCGAAGGCAGCAUACCGGCGCCCGACUGACGCUGAGGCACGAAAGCGUGGGUAGCGAACAGGAUUAGAUACCCCAGUAGUC